RNAcentral lists this ribosomal RNA (465 nucleotides) under Vreelandella stevensii. RNAcentral describes it as "partial 16S ribosomal RNA". It matches the Rfam family "Bacterial small subunit ribosomal RNA", at positions 338 to 795 of the family's 1533-position model. The record is from RNAcentral. Lineage: Bacteria; Pseudomonadati; Pseudomonadota; Gammaproteobacteria; Oceanospirillales; Halomonadaceae.
CCUACGGGUGGCAGCAGUGGGGAAUAUUGGACAAUGGGCGAAAGCCUGAUCCAGCCAUGCCGCGUGUGUGAAGAAGGCCUUCGGGUUGUAAAGCACUUUCAGUGGGGAAGAAAGCCUUGGGGCUAAUACCCUCGAGGAAGGACAUCACCCACAGAAGAAGCACCGGCUAACUCCGUGCCAGCAGCCGCGGUAAUACGGAGGGUGCGAGCGUUAAUCGGAAUUACUGGGCGUAAAGCGCGCGUAGGCGGUCUGAUAAGCCGGUUGUGAAAGCCCCGGGCUCAACCUGGGAACGGCAUCCGGAACUGUCAGGCUAGAGUGCAGGAGAGGAAGGUAGAAUUCCCUGUGUAGCGGUGAAAUGCGUAGAGAUCGGGAGGAAUACCAGUGGCGAAGGCGGCCUUCUGGACUGACACUGACGCUGAGGUGCGAAAGCGUGGGUAGCAAACAGGAUUAGAUACCCCAGUAGUC